This 563-nucleotide small RNA is filed under the name Pongo abelii (Sumatran orangutan). RNAcentral describes it as "retained intron". The record is from RNAcentral. Lineage: Eukaryota; Metazoa; Chordata; Mammalia; Primates; Hominidae.
AGCACUAUGAUGGAGGAGCUGGUGAGCUAGCAUUGUUUGGAAGGCCCUCCCCUCAGGGAGAAGGGGAGGGGCCCAGGUGACGUCUGACGUCUUGGUUCUCUCAGGAGCUGGUGAAACACACGCAGGAGGCGAUGGAGAAGGAGAACCUGCGGCUGGCCCUGGAUGCCAUGAGGGACCUGGCUCAGUGCGUGAACGAGGUCAAGCGAGACAACGAGACACUGCGGCAGAUCACCAAUUUCCAGCUGUCCAUUGAGAACCUGGACCAGUCUUUGGCUCACUAUGGCCGGCCCAAGAUAGACGGGGAGCUCAAGAUCACCUCGGUGGAACGGCGCUCCAAGAUGGACAGGUACGCCUUCCUGCUCGACAAAGCUCUACUCAUCUGUAAGCGCCGGGGAGACUCCUAUGACCUCAAGGACUUUGUGAACCUGCACAGCUUCCAGAUUCGGGAUGACUCUUCAGGAGACCGAGACAACAAGAAGUGGAGCCACAUGUUCCUCCUGAUCGAGGACCAAGGUGCCCAGGGCUAUGAGCUGUUCUUCAAGACAAGAGAAUUGAAGAAGAAG